GAUGAACGCUGGCGGCGUGCCUAAUACAUGCAAGUCGAGCGAACGGACGAGAAGCUUGCUUCUCUGAUGUUAGCGGCGGACGGGUGAGUAACACGUGGAUAACCUACCUAUAAGACUGGGAUAACUUCGGGAAACCGUAGCUAAUACCGGAUAAUAUUUUGAACCGCAUGGUUCAAAAGUGAAAGACGGUCUUGCUGUCACUUAUAGAUGGAUCCGCGCUGCAUUAGCUAGUUGGUAAGGUAACGGCUUACCAAGGCAACGAUGCAUAGCCGACCUGAGAGGGUGAUCGGCCACACUGGAACUGAGACACGGUCCAGACUCCUACGGGAGGCCGCAGUCGGGAAUCUUCCGCAAUGGGCGGAAGCCUGACGGAGCAACGCCGCGUGAGUGAUGAAGGUCUUCGGAUCGUAAAACUCUGUUAUUAGGGAAGAACAUAUGUGUAAGUAACUGUGCACAUCUUGACGGUACCUAAUCAGAAAGCCACGGCUAACUACGUG
This 497-nucleotide ribosomal RNA is filed under the name uncultured bacterium. RNAcentral's name for it is "partial 16S ribosomal RNA". It matches the Rfam family "Bacterial small subunit ribosomal RNA", at positions 28 to 507 of the family's 1533-position model. The record is from RNAcentral.